This 260-nucleotide long non-coding RNA is filed under the name Elaeis guineensis (African oil palm). RNAcentral's name for it is "long non-coding RNA (EGUI_LNC010701)". Lineage: Eukaryota; Viridiplantae; Streptophyta; Magnoliopsida; Arecales; Arecaceae. The record is from RNAcentral.
GGCCAAUCAAUUCUCAUCAUGUGGUUGGUCCAAAGACGCAUGGAAAUGCCCAAAUCUCUCCUAUUUGGCUAUAUUUAGUCCACAAUGGCAAAUAGUUUCUAUAACCAUGAGAUAUGCAGGAAUUAGCACAUGGGAUAAUCACACAUGUGAUGUAUUUUGGACGUACAAAUGAUUAUCCAAAAUGAUCAUUUUUGCACAUUCUAAAAUUCUAUAGCAAUGUGUAUUGGCCCUCGCUUGUAUAAACUAAUUAAGAGAGACUC